Molecule: long non-coding RNA, 253 nt
Organism: Myotis myotis
Lineage: Eukaryota; Metazoa; Chordata; Mammalia; Chiroptera; Vespertilionidae
Exons: 3
Source: RefSeq, a predicted model, not a curated record
AGCUAGAGGCAAAUAAGGAAGUGGAGUGCUGAUCUUGAGCCUAAGAAUUUCCCCAUGCUGAGAACAAGUUCACAACAGAAGAGCAGAGAAGAGAGACCUAUCUCAAGUACAGGAUAGCUGCUCCAUCUACCCUUCCAUCAGCAGGACAGGGGUGCCCCUGUGUACCACUCUCCCAGCCAACACUUGUGCCAAGGAGGAGCUACAGAACAUCAAUGAAUACUGCUGAAUUAAAUGGAAUAAAGUCCAGUGUUGG